Molecule: ribosomal RNA, 460 nt
Filed under: uncultured bacterium
Lineage: Bacteria
Description: partial 16S ribosomal RNA
Rfam family: Bacterial small subunit ribosomal RNA
Source: RNAcentral
CCUACGGGUGGCAGCAGUGGGGAAUAUUGGUCAAUGGGCGUAAGCCUGAACCAGCCAAGUCGCGUGAGGGAUGAAGGUUCUAUGGAUCGUAAACCUCUUUUGUAAGGGGAUAAAGUGUGGGACGUGUCCUAUUUUGUAUGUACCUUAUGAAUAAGGAUCGGCUAACUCCGUGCCAGCAGCCUAGGUAAUACGGAGGAUCCGAGCGUUAUCCGGAUUGAUUGGGUUUAACGGGUGCGUAGGCGGCCUUUUAAGUCAGCGGUGAAAGUCUGUGGCUCAACCAGAGAAUUGCCGUUGAAACUGGGGGGCUUGAGUAUUUUUGAGGCAGGCAGAAUGCGAGGUGUAGCGGUGAAAUGCGUAGAGAUCUCGCAGAAUCCUGAUGGCGAAGGCAGCCUGCCAAGCAAUGACUGACGCUGAUGCACGAAAGCGUGGGGAUCAAACAGGAUUAGAUACCCCAGUAGUC